UGGUAUCCUGGAGACAAAGUGCUCACCCUUGGAUCAAGAUCUGCUAUCAAACUCUAGGGGUGAGAUCAUGUAUGAGCCUCUAGAACAAUUUCUGCACUCAACAAAAGAAGAGUAUAGCGUAGUAUCAGUACAAACUACUAUGUACUGGUAGGUAUCAUAGGACAACUAAACUUAAUAACAUGUACACAACAUAAAUCAAAUAACAAGUAGACAGACAUCAUCACAUAACAAAUUCUCAAUGAAUCAACAAUACAACAAUAACAGGUCAAACAGUGCUCACAGACAAGCCACAUAACCAUCAAGAGUAUCAACCAUACUGUAAACAUCCACAAAAUCAACACAAAUAUGUACACAUAUGCUAUGGGACUUAUUUUUGCCCAAAUGGUCAUGACCUGUAGGGAACAAUCUAUGUUCAUAUACCGUACCGACGUGGUACCCGAUCCAACAUAUACAUAUCCGUACCGAUGUGGUACCCGAUCCAACAUAAAUAUAAACACACCGGCGUGGUACUCGAUCCAAUACAAACAUAAACAUACCGGCGUGGUACCUGAUCCAACAUAAAUAUAAACGUACCGGCGUGGUACCCAAUCCAACAUAAAUAUAAACGUACCGGCGUGGUACCCGAUCCAACAUAAAUGUAAACAAGUAUUAUCAAUAUCAAUUUACACAACCUCAUAGCAUUCAACACAAUGUACUAAGAUUACAAGUACACUUAAAGUCAUGAGACAAUUCUAUCAAGUCAAUUUUUAAUAAACAUUUAUACAGGAAUCAACAAUCCAAACAUCUACAAUUUCAAACAUGUACAAAUACCAAUCCACAAGUAUCCAAUUUAGGAGCAUACACACAAUUAAAUCAAGUCUAAACUCCAAUUAAACCAUAACCUACCUCAAUCGAAGAAUUCAAAUGCAAGCUAAUUUGUAAGGGUCUUACCCCUCCAUAAAGCUUCCGAAAUAUCAAAAUCUGUUCAAAUAUAUAAUCUCCAUAAGAAUAUGAAUUUAAUUACAUCAAUUUAUUCAUUAUAUCUCAAUCACUGACUAAUUAUUACCUUAUCAUUAUGCUACUAACCAAUGAUUAUUAGUAAUCAUUACAAAAUUUAUAUUAAGCCAAAAUAUUAGUACCACUGCAAUGCACGUACAAGACCAUUUUUGACUAACUUCUACUUGCCAAAUUCCUGUUUUCGACCUUACACCUUCCUUCCCCAAACCAGAAUACCCAAAUACAAAUUUCCCCCUUAUAAUAUUGAGCACAUGAUUACGUUAAUCCUCCACACAAAACGACUAACAGUAGUAGCUUUCGCACUUUUCGUAAAUGGUGAGAACAAUCAAAUUUUGUUGUAAAGAAACUACUUGCUUCACCUUUAUCAGACAACAACACUAAUCUAGUAUAUAAUUAACUCAUUAACUAAGCUAGUUUCAACACCACAACUGGCCAAUUCUCGAGCAAUUAAUGGCCAUCACCUAACUUAAAAUACCUUCAUAUUUUUAUAUAUAUCAUGACUACACUAAGAACAAAAUGAUUGCACAAAGUUUACUGACGAACCUGAAGCAGUCACGUUCCUCCACUACAAUGGUUG
RNAcentral lists this long non-coding RNA (1573 nucleotides) under Capsicum annuum. RNAcentral describes it as "long non-coding RNA (CANN_LNC016157)". Lineage: Eukaryota; Viridiplantae; Streptophyta; Magnoliopsida; Solanales; Solanaceae. The record is from RNAcentral.